GCACAAGCAGCGGAGCGUGUGGUUUAAUUCGAUGAUACACGAAGAACCUUACCAGGGUUUGACAUGCUAGUGGUAGGGAACUGAAAGGGACCGACCUUCGGGAGCUUAUACAGGUGUUGCAUGGCUGUCGUCAGCUCGUGUCGUGAGAUGUUCGGUUAAGUCCGCUAACGAGCGCAACCCUCGCCGUAUGUUACAAGUGUCAUACGGGACUGCCGGUAAAAGCCGGAGGAAGGUGAGGAUGAUGUCAAGUCAGCAUGACCUUUAUAUCCAGGGCUACACACACGCUACAAUGGUCUGUACAAUUGGUUGCCAAGCCGCGAGGCGGAGCCAAUCCGUAAAGCAGGCCUCAGUUCAGAUUGCAGUCUGCAACUCGACUGCAUGAAGCCGGAGUUGCUAGUAACCGCAGGUCAGCAAUACUGCGGUGAAUACGUUCCCGGGUCUU
This 442-nucleotide ribosomal RNA is filed under the name uncultured Anaerolineaceae bacterium. RNAcentral describes it as "bacterial SSU rRNA". It matches the Rfam family "Bacterial small subunit ribosomal RNA", at positions 923 to 1382 of the family's 1533-position model. Lineage: Bacteria; Bacillati; Chloroflexota; Anaerolineae; Anaerolineales; Anaerolineaceae. The record is from RNAcentral.